Long non-coding RNA from Anoplopoma fimbria (sablefish), 271 nucleotides. RefSeq lists it as uncharacterized. The transcript is spliced from 4 exons. NCBI's taxonomy places the organism in Eukaryota, Metazoa, Chordata, Actinopteri, Perciformes, Anoplopomatidae. The record is from RefSeq and is a predicted model, not a curated record.
ACUGCACCCUGGGACAAAAGUCCACAGAAGAGACGCAGCUAAGCUAGUGAGCUAGCAGCUAAGGAGAGAGGAGAAGGAGCUGAACAGAGAGGAAGAAGGAAAGGAGUCAAGGACGUCAAGUAAGUGAGCUAGCAGCUAAGGAGAGAGGAGACGAGGAGAAGGAGCUGAACAGAGAGGAAGAAGGAAAGGAGUCCACGAGGACGUCAAGUAAGGAGCACAGUGGGCGGGACUUACCUGUGGCAGUGUCCCCGACGCUUCCCAUCCAACCUCA